AGAAGCUUACUUCGGUAAGUGGAAAGUGGCAGACGGGUGAGUAACGCGUGGCAACCUACCUUUUUCUACGGAACAACAGUUGGAAACGACUGCUAAUACCGUAUACGCCCUCCGGGGGAAAGAUUUAUCGGUGAAAGAUGGGGCCGCGUUAGAUUAGCUAGUUGGUGGGGUAAUGGCUCACCAAGGCGACGAUCUAUAGCUGGUCUGAGAGGAUGAUCAGCCACACUGGGACUGAGACACGGCCCAGACAACUACGGUUGGCAGCAGUGGGGAAUAUUGGACAAUGGGGGCAACCCUGAUCCAGCCAUGCCGCGUGAAUGAUGAAGGCCUUAGGGUUGUAAAAUUCUUUCGCUAGGGAUGAUAAUGACAGUACCUAGUAAAGAAGCCCCGGCUAACUCCGUGCCAGCAGCCGCGGUAAUACGGAGGGGGCUAGCGUUGUUCGGGAUUACUGGGCGUAAAGCGUGCGUAGGCGGAUUAUUAAGUUAGGGGUGAAAUCCCGGGGCUCAACCUCGGAACUGCCUCUAAAACUGGUAAUCUAGAGAUAUGGAGAGGUAAGUGGAAUUCCUAGUGUAGAGGUGAAAUUCGUAGAUAUUAGGAGGAACACCAGAGGCGAAGGCGGCUUACUGGACAUAUACUGACGCUGAGGCACGAAAGUGUGGGUAGCAAACAGGAUUAGAUACCCUGGUAGUCCACACCGUAAACGAUGAGAGCUAGUUGUCUGCAGGCAUGCCUGUAGGUGACGCAGCUAACGCAUUAAGCUCUCCGCCUGGGGAGUACGGUCGCAAGAUUAAAACUCAAAGAAAUUGACGGGGGCCCGCACAA
RNAcentral lists this ribosomal RNA (822 nucleotides) under uncultured marine bacterium. RNAcentral describes it as "bacterial SSU rRNA". It matches the Rfam family "Bacterial small subunit ribosomal RNA", at positions 69 to 928 of the family's 1533-position model. The record is from RNAcentral.